UACGUAGGGGGCAAGCGUUGUCCGGAUUUACUGGGCGUAAAGAGCGUGUAGGCGGCCAGACCGGUCCGUUGUGAAAACUGGAGGCUCAACCUUCAGACGUCGACGGAAACCGUUUGGCUAGAGUCCGGAAGAGGAGAGUGGAAUUCCUGGUGUAGCGGUGAAAUGCGCAGAUAUCAGGAAGAACACCGAUGGCGAAGGCAGCUCUCUGGGACGGUACUGACGCUGAGACGCGAAAGCGUGGGGAGCGAACGGG
RNAcentral lists this ribosomal RNA (253 nucleotides) under uncultured bacterium. RNAcentral's name for it is "partial 16S ribosomal RNA". It matches the Rfam family "Bacterial small subunit ribosomal RNA", at positions 524 to 776 of the family's 1533-position model. The record is from RNAcentral.